RNAcentral lists this ribosomal RNA (519 nucleotides) under uncultured bacterium. RNAcentral's name for it is "bacterial SSU rRNA". It matches the Rfam family "Bacterial small subunit ribosomal RNA", at positions 777 to 1304 of the family's 1533-position model. The record is from RNAcentral.
AAUAGAUACCCAGGUAGUCCACGCCGUAAACGAUGGAUACUAGCUGUUUGAGCGCAAGUUUGAGUGGCUAAGCGAAAGUGAUAAGUAUCCCACCUGGGGAGUACGGGCGCAAGCCUGAAACUCAAAGGAAUUGACGGGGGCCCGCACAAGCGGUGGAGCAUGUGGUUUAAUUCGAUGAUACGCGAGGAACCUUACCAGAGCUUAAAUGUAGAUUGACGUAUUUGGAAACAGAUAUUUCUUCGGACAAUUUACAAGGUGCUGCAUGGUUGUCGUCAGCUCGUGCCGUGAGGUGUCAGGUUAAGUCCUAUAACGAGCGCAACCCCUGUUGUUAGUUGCCAGCGAGUAAUGUCGGGAACUCUAGCAAGACUGCCAGUGUAAACUGUGAGGAAGUGGGGAUGACGUCAAAUCAUCACGGCCCUUAGUCCUGGGCCACACACGUGCUACAAUGGCCGGUACAGAGAGCAGCCACUUAGCGAUAAGGAGCGAAUCUAUAAAGCCGGUCACAGUUCGGAUCGGAGU